Molecule: ribosomal RNA, 301 nt
Filed under: uncultured bacterium
Lineage: Bacteria
Description: partial 16S ribosomal RNA
Rfam family: Bacterial small subunit ribosomal RNA
Source: RNAcentral
CAGUAGCCGCGGUAAUACGGAGGGUGCAAGCGUUAAUCGGAAUUACUGGGCGUAAAGCGCACGCAGGCGGUCUGACAAGUCAGAUGUGAAAUCCCCGGGCUUAACCUGGGAACUGCAUUUGAAACUGUCAGGCUGGAGUCUUGUAGAGGGGGGUGGAAUUCCAGGUGUAGCGGUGAAAUGCGUAGAGAUCUGGAGGAAUACCGGUGGCGAAGGCGGCCCCCUGGACAAAGACUGACGCUCAGGUGCGAAAGCGUGGGGAGCAAACAGGAUUAGAGACCCGCGUAGUCCCUGUCUCUUAUAC